RNAcentral lists this ribosomal RNA (451 nucleotides) under uncultured bacterium. RNAcentral's name for it is "bacterial SSU rRNA". It matches the Rfam family "Bacterial small subunit ribosomal RNA", at positions 328 to 793 of the family's 1533-position model. The record is from RNAcentral.
UGCCCAGACUCCUACGGGAGGCAGCAGUGGGGAAUAUUGCACAAUGGGCGAAAGCCUGAUGCAGCAACGCCGCGUGAAGGAAGAAGGGUUUCGGCUCGUAAACUUCUAUCAACAGGGACGAAAGAAAUGACGGUACCUGAAUAAGAAGCCCCGGCUAACUACGUGCCAGCAGCCGCGGUAAUACGUAGGGGGCAAGCGUUAUCCGGAAUUACUGGGUGUAAAGGGUGAGUAGGCGGCAUGGUAAGCCAGAUGUGAAAGCCUUGGGCUUAACCCGAGGAUUGCAUUUGGAACUAUCAAGCUGGAGUACAGGAGAGGAAAGCGGAAUUCCUAGUGUAGCGGUGAAAUGCGUAGAUAUCAGGAGGAACACCGGCGGCGAAGGCGGCCUGCUGGACCGUGACUGACGUUGAGGCUCGAGAGCGUGGGGAGCAAACAGGAUUAGAUACCCGAGUAC